GAUGAACGCUGGCGGCGUGCCUAAUACAUGCAAGUCGAGCGAACAAACGAUGAGCUUGCUCCUCUGACGUUAGCGGCGGACGGGUGAGUAACACGUGGAUAACCUACUUAUAAGACUGGGAUAACUACGGGAAACCGGUUCUAAUACCGGAUAAUAUAUUGAACCGCAUGGUUCAAUAGUGAAAGACGGUUUUGCUGUCACUUAUAGAUGGAUUCGCGCCGGAUUAGCUAGUUGGUAAGGUAACGGCUUACCAAGGCGACGAUGCGUAGCCGACCUGAGAGGAUGAUCAGCCACACUGGAACUGAGACACGGUCCAGACUCCUACGGGAGGCAGCAGUAGGGAAUCUUCCGCAAUGGGCGAAAGCCUGACGGAGCAACGCCGCGUGAGUGAUGAAGGUCUUCGGAUCGUAAAACUCUGUUAUUGGGGAAGAACAAAUGUGUAAGUAACUAUGCACGUCUUGACGGUACCUAAUCAGAAAGCCACGGCUAACUUCGUG
Molecule: ribosomal RNA, 497 nt
Filed under: uncultured bacterium
Lineage: Bacteria
Description: partial 16S ribosomal RNA
Rfam family: Bacterial small subunit ribosomal RNA
Source: RNAcentral